CCCAGUCAUGGGGGACACCUUCAUCCGUCACAUCGCCCUGCUGGGCUUUGAGAAGCGCUUCGUACCCAGCCAGCACUAUGUACAUGUUCCUGGUGAAAUGGCAGGACCUGUCGGAGAAGGUGGUCUACCGGCGCUUCACCGAGAUCUACGAGUUCCAUGACAAAAAAGCCAGAGACAUACUUGAUGCCCAAAGAUGGCAAGAGUACCGCGACAGACAUCACCGGCCCCAUCAUCCUGCAGACGUACCGCGCCAUUGCCAACUACGAGAAGACCUCGGGCUCCGAGAUGGCUCUGUCCACGGGGGACGUGGUGGAGGUCGUGGAGAAGAGCGAGAGCGGUCAGACCUCCCACCUUACGGGGCUCCUUCCCCUGGUGCUCAGGAACCCACAGCCACAAGCCCCCUGCCAAGGCUCAGGCAGCCUGGCCCCUGGGAGGACUCCGGCUCUGUUAGGGGCCCUAAAUGUCCUCCCCACACUGUGGGUCGCCUUCUCUCUUAGUGUGCACCCUGUGGUGGCUGUGGGCAUCUGUGCAUGGCAGGCCGGGGCGGGGCAUGUCUGCGUGUUCUGUCUGGAUGGGUAUGGGACCGUCUGUUCAUUAUGAAGUGGGCUCAGAGCUGUGAUUCUGUGAGCAUGUGUGCAUGCAUGCAUGUGACCUCAUUGUCCAGUGUGGUGAAGGUGACAUUUCCAAAUCUGAGCAUUGGACAUCAGUGUGUCUGUGUCCCUGUGUCCUCACCAUCCCUGAUGGCUGCAGGGAGCCGCUGGGCCCUGCCCCUCAGUCACAUUCCCGCACCUCUGGCACAGGUUGGUGGUUCUGUCAGAUGAAAGCAAAGCGAGGCUGGAUCCCAGCAUCCUUCCUCGAGCCCCUGGACAGUCCUGACGAGACGGAAGACCCUGAGCCCAACUAUGCAGGUGAGCCAUACGUCGCCAUCAAGGCCUACACUGCUGUGGAGGGGGACGAGGUGUCCCUGCUCGAGGGUGAAGCUGUUGAGGAAAGACGACGUCACAGGCUACUUCCCGUCCAUGUACCUGCAAAAGUCAGGGCAAGACGUGUCCCAGGCCCAACGCCAGAUCAAGCGGGGGGCGCCGCCCCGCAGGUCGUCCAUCCGCAACGUGCACAGCAUCCACCAGCGGUCGCGGAAGCGCCUCAGCCAGGACGCCUAUCGCCGCAACAGCGUCCGUUUUCUGCAGCAGCGACGCCGCCAGGCGCGGCCGGGACCGCAGAGCCCCGGGAGCCCGCUCGAGGAGGAGCGGCAGACGCAGCGCUCUAAACCGCAGCCGGCGGUGCCCCCGCGGCCGAGCGCCGACCUCAUCCUGAACCGCUGCAGCGAGAGCACCAAGCGGAAGCUGGCGUCUGCCGUCUGAGGCUGGAGCGCAGUCCCCAGCUAGCGUCUCGGCCCUUGCCGCCCCGUGCCUGUAUAUACGUGUUCUAUAGAGCCUGGCGUCUGGACGCCGAGGGCAGCCCCGACCCCUGUCCAGCGCGGCUCCCGCCACCCUCAAUAAAUGUUGCUUGGAGUGGA
Molecule: long non-coding RNA, 1516 nt
Organism: Homo sapiens (human)
Lineage: Eukaryota; Metazoa; Chordata; Mammalia; Primates; Hominidae
Gene: NCF1B
Product: neutrophil cytosolic factor 1B (pseudogene)
Source: Ensembl